AUGGUUGGGCAGAAACCUACUAAUGGCACGAGAUGGCUUAUCACCGGAGAUUUCAACCAAGUCUAUCGUGCCCGAGAUAAGAACCGUUCCAAUGUUGAUCGGAGCCGCAUUGUCCGGUUCCGCAACGCUCUCAAUGCUUGCGAGCUCAAGGAGAUACAUUUGCAGAAUAGGAAAUUCACGUGGAGCAACGAGCGAGCUGAUCCGACCAUGAGCAAACUUGAUAGCUUUUUUUGUAAUGAAGAUUGGGAUAUCCAAUUCGGCACACACCUCCUACAUGCCUUGUCAUCUUCAUUGUCCGACCAUUGUCCUCUCCUCCUCGCUAGUGACUCCGGGCCCUCUCGGCCAAAGUGCUUCCGCUUCGAAAACUUUUGGAUCAAGAUGCCUAACUUCAAGAAGGUUGUUCAAGAUGCUUGG
RNAcentral lists this ribosomal RNA (414 nucleotides) under Triticum aestivum (bread wheat). RNAcentral describes it as "partial small subunit ribosomal RNA". The record is from RNAcentral. Lineage: Eukaryota; Viridiplantae; Streptophyta; Magnoliopsida; Poales; Poaceae.